RNAcentral lists this ribosomal RNA (460 nucleotides) under uncultured bacterium. RNAcentral's name for it is "partial 16S ribosomal RNA". It matches the Rfam family "Bacterial small subunit ribosomal RNA", at positions 338 to 795 of the family's 1533-position model. The record is from RNAcentral.
CCUACGGGAGGCAGCAGUGAGGAAUAUUGGUCAAUGGACGCAAGUCUGAACCAGCCAUGCCGCGUGCAGGAAGACGGCUCUAUGGUUUGUAAACUGCUUUUAUACGGGGGUAAACGCAUAUACGCGUAUCUGUCUGAAAGUAUCCUACGAAUAAGGAUCGGCUAACUCCGUGCCAGCAGCCGCGGUAAUACGGAGGAUUCAAGCGUUAUCCGGAUUUAUUGGGUUUAAAGGGUGCGUAGGUGGUCGUAUAAGUUAGAGGUGAAAUCCUGAGGCUCAACUUCGGAAUUGCCGCUGAUACUGUUAGGCUAGAGAGUAGUUGCGGUAGGCGGAAUGUAUGGUGUAGCGGUGAAAUGCUUAGAGAUCAUGCAGAACACCGAUUGCGAAGGCAGCUUACCAAGCUACUUCUGACGUUGAGGCACGAAAGCGUGGGGAGCAAACAGGAUUAGAUACCCGGGUAGUC